AGUGAACGCUGGCGGUAGGCCUAACACAUGCAAGUCGAACGGCAGCACAGUAAGAGCUUGCUCUUACGGGUGGCGAGUGGCGGACGGGUGAGGAAUACAUCGGAAUCUACUUUUUCGUGGGGGAUAACGUAGGGAAACUUACGCUAAUACCGCAUACGACCUACGGGUGAAAGCAGGGGAUCUUCGGACCUUGCGCGAUUGAAUGCGCCGAUGUCGGAUUAGCUAGUUGGCGGGGUAAAGGCCCACCAAGGCGACGACCCGUAGCUGGUCUGAGAGGAUGAUCAGCCACACUGGAACUGAGACACGGUCCAGACUCCUACGGGAGGCAGCAGUGGGGAAUAUUGGACAAUGGGCGCAAGCCUGAUCCAGCCAUACCGCGUGUGUGAAGAAGGCCUUCGGGUUGUAAAGCCCUUUUGUUGGGAAGGAAAAGCAGCAGGUUAAUACCCCGCUGUUCUGACGGUACCCGAAGAAUAAGCACCGGCUAACUUCGUG
This 492-nucleotide ribosomal RNA is filed under the name uncultured bacterium. Its description in RNAcentral is "partial 16S ribosomal RNA". It matches the Rfam family "Bacterial small subunit ribosomal RNA", at positions 29 to 507 of the family's 1533-position model. The record is from RNAcentral.